CGCAGCCGCGGUAAUUCCAGCUCCAAUAGCGUAUAUUAAAGUUGUUGCAGUUAAAAAGCUCGUAGUUGAAUUUCGGGAUUAAUAUGUUAGUCGUGCCUUGGUACGUACUGGCAUUAUUGAUUCCUACCUUCUGAAGAACCUCGAUGUCAUUAAUUUGGUGUCUUGGGGAAUCAGGACCGUUACUUUGAAAAAUUAGAGUGUUUAAAGCAGGCUCGCGCUUGAAUACAUUAGCAUGGAAUAAUGAAAUAGGACGUUUGAUUCUAUUUUGUUGGUUUCUAGGAUCGACGUAAUGAUUAAUAGGGAUAGUUGGGGGCAUUAGUAUUCAAUUGUCAGAGGUGAAAUUCUUGGAUUUAUUGAAGACUGACUACUGCGAAAGCAUUUGCCAAGGAUGUUUUCAUUAAUCAAGAACGAAAGUUAGGGAUCGAAGACGAUCAGAUACCGUCGUAGUCUUAACCAUAAACUAUGCCGACUAGGGAUCGGGAUGAUGUUAAUUUUUUAAUGUACUCAUUCGGCGCCUUAC
RNAcentral lists this unclassified non-coding RNA (520 nucleotides) under uncultured Glomus. Its description in RNAcentral is "SSU rRNA". It matches the Rfam family "Eukaryotic small subunit ribosomal RNA", at positions 569 to 1091 of the family's 1831-position model. The record is from RNAcentral. Lineage: Eukaryota; Fungi; Glomeromycota; Glomeromycetes; Glomerales; Glomeraceae.